GACGAACGCUGGCGGCGUGCUUAACACAUGUAAGUCGAACGGAAAGGCCCUGCUUGCGCGGUACUCGAGUGACUAACGGGUGAGUAACACGUGGGUGAUCUGCCCUGCUCUUCGGGAUAAACCUGUAAAACUGGCUCUAAUACCGGAUAGGAGCCAUUUUUAGUGUGAUGAUUGGAAAGUUUUUUCGGUGUAUGAUGAGCUCGCAACCUAUCAUGCUUGUUGGUGGGGUAAUGGCCUACCAAGGCGGUCGACGGGUAGACGAUCUGAAAGGGAGGACAGACACAUUGCGACUGAAAUACGGCCCAGACUCCUACCGGAGGCAUCAGUGAGGAAUAUUGCACAAUGCUCCCAAGCCUGAUGCAACCACGCCGCAUGAACGAUGACGGACUUCAGAUUGUAAACUCCUUUCGCUACUCACGAAUCUUAUUGUGACGAUACCUAGAUAAGAAACACCGGCUAGCUACGUGCCCUCACCCGAGAUAAUACGUAAGGUGCGAGCCUUGUCCCGAAUUACUGCGCAUAAACGGAUCGUAGGUGGGAUGUCUCGUCGUCUGGCAAUUCCAGGGCUUACUCCGGGCGAGCAGGCGAUACGUGCAUAACUUGAAUACUGCAUGGGUAACUGGAAUUCCUGGUGUAGCGAUGAAAUGCGAAAAUAUCAGGAGGAACACCGAUGGCGAAGGCUUGUUACUGGGCAGUUACUGACGCUGAGGAGCGAAAGCAUGGAUUAGCGAACAGGAUUAGAUACCCUGGUACUCCAUGCCGUAAACGGUGGGCGCUAGGUGUGAGGGUCUUUUCACGACUUUCGUCCCGUAGCUCACGCAUUAAGCGCCCCGCCUGGGGAGUACGGCCGCAAGGCUAUAAACUCAAAGGAAUUGACGGGGGCCCGCACAAGCGGCGGAGCAUGUGGAUUAAUUCGAUGCAGCGCGACGAACCUUACCUGGGCUUGACAUACACUGGAUCGCUGCAGAGACGUAGUUUCCCUUUGUGACUGGUGUCCAGGUGGUGCAUGGUUGUCGUCAGCUCGUGUCGUGAGAUGUUGGGUUAAGUCCCGCAACGAGCGCAACCCUUGUCUUAUGUUGCCAGCAUUUGGUUGGGGACUCAUGAGAGACUGCCGGGGUCAACUCGGAGGAAGGUGGGGAUGACGUCAAAUCAUCAUGCCCCUUAUGUCCAGGGCUUCACACAUGCUACAAUGGUCGGUACAACGCGCAGCGACACUGUGAGGUGGAGCGAAUCGCUGAAAGCCGGCCUCAGUUCGGAUUGGGGUCUGCAGCUCGACCCCAUGAAGUCGGAGUCGCUAGUAAUCGCAGAUCAGCAACGCUGCGGUGAAUACGUUCCCGGGCCU
Molecule: ribosomal RNA, 1342 nt
Filed under: uncultured bacterium
Lineage: Bacteria
Description: partial 16S ribosomal RNA
Rfam family: Bacterial small subunit ribosomal RNA
Source: RNAcentral